GUCGCAGAAACGGUGUACGGUGAACCU
Molecule: non-coding RNA, 27 nt
Filed under: Bombyx mori (domestic silkworm)
Lineage: Eukaryota; Metazoa; Arthropoda; Insecta; Lepidoptera; Bombycidae
Source: RNAcentral